CAGCAGCCACGGGAAAACGUAGGGGGCAAGCGUUAUCCGGAAUUACUGGGUGUAAAGGGAGCGUAGACGGUUAAACAAGUCUGAAGUGAAAUGCCGGGGCUCAACCCCGGAGCUGCUUUGGGAACUGUAGAACUGGAGUGUCGGAGGGGUAAGCGGAAUUCCCAGUGUAGCGGUGAAAUGCGUAGAUAUUGGGAGGAACACCGGCGGCGAAGGCGGCUUACUGGACGACAACUGACGUUGAGGCUCGAAGGCGUGGGUAGCAAACAGGAUUAGAUACCCGAGUAGUCCCUGUCUCUUAUAC
RNAcentral lists this ribosomal RNA (301 nucleotides) under uncultured bacterium. Its description in RNAcentral is "partial 16S ribosomal RNA". It matches the Rfam family "Bacterial small subunit ribosomal RNA", at positions 509 to 807 of the family's 1533-position model. The record is from RNAcentral.